Molecule: ribosomal RNA, 495 nt
Filed under: uncultured bacterium
Lineage: Bacteria
Description: bacterial SSU rRNA
Rfam family: Bacterial small subunit ribosomal RNA
Source: RNAcentral
AUGAACGCUAGCGACAGGCCUAACACAUGCAAGUCGAGGGGCAGCACAAGGAGCAAUCUGAGGUGGCGACCGGCGCACGGGUGAGUAACACGUAUGCAACCUGCCUGUAAGCGGGGAAUAACCCGUUGAAAGACGGACUAAUACCGCAUAAUACUAAAUUACUGCAUGGUAAUUUAUUUAAACAUUUAUGGCUUACAGAUGGGCAUGCGCAUGAUUAGCUAGUUGGAGAGGUAACGGCUCCCCAAGGCAACGAUCAUUAGGGGUUCUGAGAGGAAGGUCCCCCACACUGGUACUGAGACACGGACCAGACUCCUACGGGAGGCAGCAGUGAGGAAUAUUGGUCAAUGGACGAGAGUCUGAACCAGCCAAGUCGCGUGCAGGAAGAAUGUCCUAUUGGAUUGUAAACUGCUUUUGCAGGGGAAUAAAGUGCAUCACGUGUGAUGUUUUGUAUGUACUCUGCGAAUAAGGAUCGGCUAACUCCGUGCCAGCAGCUGC